UGCGUAGGCGGGUCUUUAAGUCAGGGGUGAAAUCCUGGAGCUCAACUCCAGAACUGCCUUUGAUACUGAGGAUCUUGAGUUCGGGAGAGGUGAGUGGAACUGCGAGUGUAGAGGUGAAAUUCGUAGAUAUUCGCAAGAACACCAGUGGCGAAGGCGGCUCACUGGCCCGAUACUGACGCUGAGGCACGAAAGCUGGGGGAGCAAACA
Molecule: ribosomal RNA, 207 nt
Filed under: uncultured bacterium
Lineage: Bacteria
Description: partial 16S ribosomal RNA
Rfam family: Bacterial small subunit ribosomal RNA
Source: RNAcentral